This 253-nucleotide ribosomal RNA is filed under the name uncultured bacterium. RNAcentral's name for it is "partial 16S ribosomal RNA". It matches the Rfam family "Bacterial small subunit ribosomal RNA", at positions 524 to 776 of the family's 1533-position model. The record is from RNAcentral.
UACAGAGGUCUCGAGCGUUAGGCGGAAUCACUGGGCUUAAAGCGUGUGUAGGCGGAUCGUUAAGUGCCUUGUGAAAUCCCACGGCUCAACCGUGGAACUGCUUGGCAUACUGGCGGUCUUGAGCAACCUAGGGGCGAGCGGAACAAAUGGUGGAGCGGUGAAAUGCGUAGAUAUCAGUUGGAACGCCAAUGGUGAAAACAGCUCGCUGGGGGUUUGCUGACGCUGAGACACGAAAGCCAGGGGAGCAAACGGG